RNAcentral lists this small nucleolar RNA (100 nucleotides) under Morus notabilis. RNAcentral's name for it is "Plant small nucleolar RNA R71". It matches the Rfam family "Plant small nucleolar RNA R71". From Rfam's summary of the family: R71 is a member of the C/D box family of snoRNAs containing the C (UGAUGA) and D (CUGA) box motifs. Multiple nearly identical copies of this snoRNA have been identified in Arabidopsis, and it is thought to function as a 2'-O-ribose methylation guide for 18S ribosomal RNA. Lineage: Eukaryota; Viridiplantae; Streptophyta; Magnoliopsida; Rosales; Moraceae. The record is from Rfam by way of RNAcentral.
AAACCAUGAUGUGGGCAAGAAUUUAACAAAUCCUUGAAACGCUCUCAAUACUGAAAGAAUGCUUCAUUUGAAUUUUGAGAAAAAUUUUGAAUUUGUCUUU